AGGACGAACGCUGGCGGCGUGCCUAACACAUGCAAGUCGAACGCGCUCCAUUCGGUAGCAAUACUGAUGAAGAGCGAGUGGCGAACGGGUGAGUAGCACGUGAGCAACCUGCCCCGAAGACCGGGACAACACCGGGAAACCGGUGCUAAUACCGGAUAUCCCUAUCGGACCGCAUGAUCUGAUAAGGAAAUGGAUUCCGCUUCGGGAGGGGCUCGCGGCCUAUCAGCUAGUUGGUGAGGUAACGGCCCACCAAGGCAUCGACGGGUAGCUGGUCUGAGAGGACGAUCAGCCACACUGGGACUGAGACACGGCCCAGACUCCUACGGGAGGCAGCAGUGGGGAAUCUUGCGCAAUGGGCGAAAGCCUGACGCAGCAACGCCGCGUGGAGGACGAAGGCUUUCUGAGUUGUAAACUCCUUUCAGCAGGGACGAUAGGUGACGGUACCUGCAGAAGAAGCACCGGCCAACUACGUGCCAGCAGCCGCGGUAA
Molecule: ribosomal RNA, 489 nt
Filed under: uncultured bacterium
Lineage: Bacteria
Description: SSU rRNA
Rfam family: Bacterial small subunit ribosomal RNA
Source: RNAcentral